This is a long non-coding RNA of Bombus impatiens (common eastern bumble bee), 2148 nucleotides long. RefSeq lists it as uncharacterized. The record is from RefSeq and is a predicted model, not a curated record. NCBI's taxonomy places the organism in Eukaryota, Metazoa, Arthropoda, Insecta, Hymenoptera, Apidae. The transcript is spliced from 3 exons.
AAUUUAUAAUUUUUGCGAGGUGGCUACGACUGUGGCUACGAUAACGAAAUUAACGCGAUAUGUAUAUAUACAAACUUGAUUGUUAUUAAUCGUAUACUUUGCUUUGUAAAAUUAUCUAUUUUCUGACGUUAAAAAUUAUCGCAAGUUCGAAUAAAAUAUAGGAAGAUGUUUAUUGAUACUCGUGAUUUCCUGUUUGAAUUUUAUUCUAAACAUCGCGUAGAACGUUACGAAUACUCCUCGAACUGACAGCAAGAUUGAAACAUACAAGUUGGAAGAUUGCAGCAGCGUUAUACAAAUAUACGUAGAUAUGAAAAUUUUACUUGACACAAAAUCAGCGUUGAAUUUUUCACUUCAAUCCGCAACGUUACGAAGAAAAUCCAUAAAAAUAUCGACGACCGCUUCCAGCAAGUCCAACUCAAUGGUCCAUUAAAAUAAAUCCUCCGAUAAACCAAAGUACCUCGAUUCGAGCCAGGCCGUAAAAUUCCAAAUUGAAACAAACUCCAAAAGUACCAAUCAACGUCUGGAAAAAGUCGGGAACUUUAUCGAGCUGUAAUCAUAAUGAUAUCCUGGAAACGCGUUUAUCCCGAUGCCGAACAUUCGCGGUAAGUUUCCUCGCGCGACACAGCCGAAAGAUCAGCGAGGAAAGUUUCCUCGUGCGUCACUUAGGUCCGGUUCGCGUCGACUGCCGGAUAAAUGCCGUGUUCUUUUCUCGAUUUGAUGUCCACCUUGAGCCAGGCCAGCCGACAAACGAUCCACCUUUCGGACACUUCGAUAUAAGUAAAUAUUUUUAAUUCCAGCGUGACUAAGGCCGACCAGGCAGCCAUUCCGGAUUCCAACGUUUGUCAGAGAAAAUUCUCUUUUUCCCAGGGGAACCCGUGAGGCACGGCUAGGUUACGCCAAUGGAGUCAUCGAGGGGAAUUCAGGUGCACCACGGUCAAGGUAACAGGGCUGUUUGGGACCCGUCGUCUUUUCUCGCCUUCUUUUUCGUGUAAAGGGAUAACUUGUUCCUCGCCUGACCACGGCUGUUCAAGCCGGGUGAAAGUUUAACUUGGCUACGAGGAACGGGCCGGUCUCCGGAGUUUGCCGAGUUUGAUGGUGUUUUGAUGGCGUUGGACGUAAAGAGGAUACGAUGGACCGCGAGCUGGUUAAACGACUAAGGGAAUUGGAGAAGGGUUCUGGAAUUUUCUGGUCUGGUUCCGAUGAUUUUAUGAAAAUAUCACGACAGCAAUGAGACAGUUGUAUUAUCGAAGGUUUCAUAUUUAACGAGCUAUACAAGAAAAAAAAAAAAGAAUUAUAUAAAUCUGCAACGACCGAACGAUCGACUUGAUUAAUGGAUAAGUAAUUAUAUUUUAAUACCAUAUAAUUACAACGUUGUCAAGAAACUUUGUUUCUUGCGUGUUUACCAUUGGCUGCUCUGGCUAAAUAAUUUUUAUCUCUGUUCUGUUUGCGAUCUUAAACUUGUAUUCUCCUUUAUUUUCUUGCUCGUCCGCUAUUUGUCUAACAAUUAUCUUGUGAAGAUAAUAUCUGUGGUUACCUGCGUUUUUCACCUUCACUAAUUGGGAUAAUUUAAAGUUAAACGUAGCAUAAAUAAUUGUUGAGAUUGUUAUCUAAUAUUUCACAUAAGUUGUAAGUUGUGUAUUUUAAAAACGGUUACUGUAUUAUUAGCGAUUUUUUUAGUAAUUAAAUACAAAUUUAGAAAUUUUUGAUCGAUCCGAUAAAGAUUGACAAUUUACUUUCAACGACGAUAAUUAACAAUUUUUUUCAGAAACACUAAUUUAAUUACGGAUUUAAAAAAUUUUAAUUUCUCAAAUUAAUUACUCAAAUAAAAUUUGUAUCUUAUUUACUAUUUACUCUGUCACUUUGUUUCAAACAACGUUAUUCAAAUAAUAAUAUAUUUAGGAAAUAUAAAUUAAUACUUGUCGUUAUAUUUGCCGUUUAAAUAUCUGUUAUUUAAUUUUACCAAGAAAAUAAAGCUGUUCUUUCAUGGUGCGUGGAAUUCCUACUCCCAAACCGUACAAAUCAGACAAUUGUUAUCACCAACGGUGUUUGCUUUUACCGCAAGUGUUUGUAUUCUAAUGUCUAAGUCUAAGUAGAUUUCUUUUCCUACUUCCCACUAAUCUAAUAAGAAAAUUUGACUACCGAGUUGCU